RNAcentral lists this unclassified non-coding RNA (200 nucleotides) under Hevea brasiliensis (rubber tree). Lineage: Eukaryota; Viridiplantae; Streptophyta; Magnoliopsida; Malpighiales; Euphorbiaceae. The record is from RNAcentral.
AUCAAUCCUGCUAAUGCCAGUCGGUCAGUGCACCGUGUGCCGCUGGCGCGAAAUCUCGGCCUGCCGCAAAAUUUCAAGCGGCAGCCACGGCUUCUGCAUGAACAUGGUAUUGUCGGGGACAUCCUCGAUGGNNNNNNNNGAUAUGCGGAAACCGCUCCAUCGCGAUCCACGCCAGUUCGAUUCCCGACAUCUCGCCGUGA